AGAGUUUGAUCCUGGCUCAGAACGAACGCUGGCGGUAUGCUUAACACAUGCAAGUCGAACGAACAAGAUCAGGGCUUGCUCUGAUCUUAGUGAGUGGCAAACGGGUGAGUAACGCGUGGGAAUCUACCCAUCAGUACGGAAUAACAUUUGGAAACAGAUGCUAAUACCGUAUAUUCUCUAAGGAGGAAAGAUUUAUCGCU
This 200-nucleotide ribosomal RNA is filed under the name uncultured bacterium. Its description in RNAcentral is "partial 16S ribosomal RNA". It matches the Rfam family "Bacterial small subunit ribosomal RNA", at positions 8 to 219 of the family's 1533-position model. The record is from RNAcentral.